AGGGAAUCUUCCACAAUGGACGAAAGUCUGAUGGAGCAACGCCGCGUGAACGAUGAAGGCUUUCGGGUCGUAAAGUUCUGUUGUAAGGGAAGAACAAGUGCCGCAGGCAAUGGCGGCACCUUGACGGUACCUUGCGAGAAAGCCACGGCUAACUACGUGCCAGCAGCCGCGGUAAUACGUAGGUGGCAAGCGUUGUCCGGAAUUAUUGGGCGUAAAGCGCGCGCAGGCGGCCUCUUAAGUCUGAUGUGAAAGCCCCCGGCUCAACCGGGGAGGGCCAUUGGAAACUGGGAGGCUUGAGUAUAGGAGAGAAGAGUGGAAUUCCACGUGUAGCGGUGAAAUGCGUAGAGAUGUGGAGGAACACCAGUGGCGAAGGCGACUCUUUGGCCUAUAACUGACGCUGAGGCGCGAAAGCGUGGGGAGCAAAC
RNAcentral lists this ribosomal RNA (425 nucleotides) under uncultured bacterium. RNAcentral's name for it is "bacterial SSU rRNA". It matches the Rfam family "Bacterial small subunit ribosomal RNA", at positions 356 to 773 of the family's 1533-position model. The record is from RNAcentral.